ACUUCUGACGAACAACCCCGAACAAACCAACCUUCAAAAUUUUUAAUAUUGACAAAUUCUUGUAUUUAUUUAUAAUAAAAAAAAAUUCUUUCAUAUAUUUAUUUAAAUCUGCUUGCAAAGUAAUUUGAAAUUAAUUAUAAUUCAUUUCACAGUUUAGAAUUUAGUCAAGAUGGGCCAAGUACUGAAAGUUGCUGUUCUCUCAAUCUCCAUGGCUGCUGGCUACCAUUACUACCUCACCUUCAAAGAAUAAAUCAAUCCCAACGCGAUGGCUCCAAAAACAAGGUUAAAACUUAUUCGGCCAAAAAAGAGAAAAAAGUGCCAGUGACAUGUCACGUCAAAUUUUCUAUGGCAAUGUUUGACAGCAAGAAAAAGAUACCGAAGGAAGCGUUUAUUAUAAGAAAUGAGAAUAUUGUUAUGGAUUUAAAUUUACGAGAUCCAGACAACUAAUAUGGACAGGUUCGAGCAGCUGAAAUUCGUUUGUUUACUUAUGUCGAUGGCUGCCGGAGUGGGUUAUUCCUUCGGGUUAAUUACAGUGCCGACUGCCAGAAACCGGAGUACAAACACGAACAGUGUUGUAAAACAGGUGACAAAGGAAAAUAGAACAGAUGAAAAAAAGCUUCCUGCGAGCCGGCCUGCAGCCAAGUUGGAGGUCCUUCAUAGUGCUAGUAGCAAUAGUGAGAGUUCUUAAUAUUAAGGCUUCUGGAGACAGAAAUGUUAAGCAGAAAACCAUCUGAUAAGUGGGAAGUCUUCUUACUCGUCGUUAACUUCAUUUGCUUGUGUUUCUGACUUAGAUUUUAAAUGAUUGCCUAUUUCUAUUUGUUAACACUUUAGAUGUAAAAUAGAUGGCAAUUAAAACGUAUUAUUUAUAA
Molecule: long non-coding RNA, 869 nt
Organism: Helicoverpa armigera (cotton bollworm)
Lineage: Eukaryota; Metazoa; Arthropoda; Insecta; Lepidoptera; Noctuidae
Exons: 2
Source: RefSeq, a predicted model, not a curated record